Molecule: ribosomal RNA, 253 nt
Filed under: uncultured bacterium
Lineage: Bacteria
Description: partial 16S ribosomal RNA
Rfam family: Bacterial small subunit ribosomal RNA
Source: RNAcentral
UACGUAGGGGGCAAGCGUUGUCCGGAUUUAUUGGGCGUAAAGAGCGUGUAGGCGGUUUGGUAGGUCCGCUGUGAAAACUCGAGGCUCAACCUCGAGACGCCGGUGGAAACCAUCAGGCUAGAGUCCGGAAGAGGAGAGUGGAAUUCCUGGUGUAGCGGUGAAAUGCGUAGAUAUCGGGAGGAACACCUGUGGCGAAAGCGGCUCACUGGACCACAACUGACGCUGAGGCGCGAAAGCUAGGGGAGCAAACAGG